GCCCGCGCCUCUCCCUCCACACCUCCCCGCAACUGAGGGAGCCGGCUCCUUCCUCGGCCAGCCCAGAAAGGGGCUCCCACAGUGCAGGGCCGGGCUGAAGGGCUCCUUAAGGGUGGCCAGAGUUGGCGCCAAGGCUGAGGAGGUGCCCAGAGCGAGCGAGGGCUGCCAGGGCUGCUAGCAGGCUGUCACCUCUCAAUAGCAGUUUUGUGUAUGGGAUCUAGCCCCUCCCUAAGAGGUUGAUUCUAAGGAAGCCAACAGCCGUGUUGUGAGUACCCAAUGGAAAGUCUGUUGUGGCAGAAAACUGAUGUCUCCAGCCAACAGCACUGAGGCCCUGAGACCUGCCAACUGUCAUGAUCUUCCGAUGCCUGGACACAGAAAGAGCAGUGGAAGGGGUCGUUGCAUGAGCAAAGACAAAGAGUGGGACACUGACUGUUACAUCUCAAGGAGAAGGAUUGCCAGAUCAAAAGUCUUGCAGUUAACCAGGCGUGGUGGCAGAUACCUGUAAUCCCAGCUAUUCGGGAGGCUGAGGCAGGAGAAUCGCUUGUACCCGGGAGGCAGAGGUUGCAGUGAGCUGAGACCGCGCCAUUGACUCCUGCCUGAUGACAAGAGAGAAUCUACGUCUCAACAACAACAACACGCUUGGGCACUGUAUUAACUCCGUAAUCGGUUUAUUCAUAAUGCUGCAUCAUCCAACCAUCAUCCAACCUAUUUAUCAUUCACAAUGCCACCUGUGAAUACUGGCUUCCGUUGACUCUUUCAAGAAUUGCUACUGGGCCUCACCAAUGUUGACCACAAAUGCAAGUCAUACUGAGAGCCUCUGUGCUCUUUCCCCUGUGGACAAUAACUACCAUUUCAUCCUGGACACCCCUUGUUUGCCUGGACCACACCUUGUUAUGACCAUAACCCUCAGUCAGACUCAACUUUCCUUCAAGAUCUGCAGAUCUAAAUUUUAUUGGGAACAGCUAGUUUGACAAGCAUAGACCAGAUGUCCAGUUGUCAUUCAUUCAGCAGGAGCAGCAAGAUUCAAUCAUGUUUUUAUUAUAUUAUUUCCUGAAACUUGUGGCUGUAACAAUGAAGUUUGAGGAUUGGUCUGUGUAAGUAUGGCAGAAGUGAUGUUAAGUCGCUUAUGAGAUUAGGGUAUAAAAGACUAAGGCUUCCAUGCUUCCAUCUUGGUCUCUGUCUCUCAGAGAACAGUCGUGUGAAUGAUUCUUCUUGAAAGUAAAUCUUCCAGCCCCAGUCCAGUAUUCAAAUGAUCCAGCAACAUUGCAACUUAUGAGAGACCUUGAGCCAUCCAGGUAACAUGCUUCCAAAUCCUGACCCUCAAAACAUGUAAAAUAAUAAAUGUGGUUUUAAACUCUUAAGUAAUUUGUUACAUAGUAAUAAAUAGCUAAUACACC
Molecule: long non-coding RNA, 1397 nt
Filed under: Pan troglodytes (chimpanzee)
Lineage: Eukaryota; Metazoa; Chordata; Mammalia; Primates; Hominidae
Description: lincRNA
Source: RNAcentral